This 222-nucleotide long non-coding RNA is filed under the name Nicotiana benthamiana. RNAcentral describes it as "long non-coding RNA (NBEN_LNC016964)". The record is from RNAcentral. Lineage: Eukaryota; Viridiplantae; Streptophyta; Magnoliopsida; Solanales; Solanaceae.
UCAAAAUUGCUUUGUUAAGCAGUGACCUUAAUAACCGAGAGUCUUCUAAAACUCUCUACAACAAACUAAAGAAUUGAAUUACCUUGCGCCGGUAUCAUUUCGCUUGAGCCGGGAACUCCUGUUUACCUUGAGACAGGUAUUCCUUCUUAUAGAUAUCACCGAAAAAGCGGAAGACUAAGAAGACUUUGUCUCGCCCACGCCCAGGAAAGAAAAGAUCUGAUC